RNAcentral lists this long non-coding RNA (226 nucleotides) under Ananas comosus (pineapple). RNAcentral describes it as "long non-coding RNA (ACOM_LNC034632)". The record is from RNAcentral. Lineage: Eukaryota; Viridiplantae; Streptophyta; Magnoliopsida; Poales; Bromeliaceae.
UUUGAUAGGAAUUUUUAUAAAUUCAACUUUACCUGUUAAUUGAAGAGGGGUAAAAAUAUCAAUUCACCUUAUUAACUAAUUAGCAUUAAGCAUUUUGUCUAUGAAAAUUAAUUUUUUCUAACGGUGGAGACAUAGUUGAACUUUGGAGGAAUAUAUUUGUAACUAUCUAUGUUGCAGGAAUCUGUAUGAAAUUAAUCCUUUUAUAUAUUAGUCCACCAAAUCCCAA